GUUGACAGUUAAAAAGCUCGUAGUUGAAAUUUGGAACUUUAUUGUAUUGGUUUAUCUUUUGAUGAACUGUAUAAUGGGUUUCUUCCUACUAGAGUUCGAUUCUGUUCUUAAUUGAAUGGAGUAGCUAUCUUUCGGGGUAGUCAGUUUGGUUAUUAUGUCUCCACUAAUGAGCAGAGAGGGGUAAAACCUUCAAAGUAAGUUUUGUGGAUCAAGGUAUAGUGAUUAAUUGGAGUUCUAGUUCGUUUACUUUGAGAAAAUUAGAGUGUUUUAAAAGCAAGCCUCUUGGGGCACUGAAUACAUUAGCAUGGGAUAAUAAAAAUAGGGAUCUUCACAAUAUAUUUUAUUGGUUUUAAAUUGCGUAUGAAGAUAAUGAUUAAUAGGGACAGUUGGGGUAUUCAUAUUGGGUGGUUAGCGGUGAAAAUGCUCGGAUCCAUUCAAGAUGAACUA
RNAcentral lists this ribosomal RNA (447 nucleotides) under uncultured eukaryote. RNAcentral's name for it is "partial 18S ribosomal RNA". It matches the Rfam family "Eukaryotic small subunit ribosomal RNA", at positions 616 to 942 of the family's 1831-position model. The record is from RNAcentral.